Molecule: ribosomal RNA, 253 nt
Filed under: uncultured bacterium
Lineage: Bacteria
Description: partial 16S ribosomal RNA
Rfam family: Bacterial small subunit ribosomal RNA
Source: RNAcentral
UACGUAGGUGGCAAGCGUUGUCCGGAAUUACUGGGUGUAAAGGGAGCGUAGGCGGGCAAUUAAGUUGGGUGUGAAAUACCGCGGCUCAACCGCGGGGCUGCACCCAAAACUGAAUGUCUUGAGUGAUGUAGAGGCAGGCGGAAUUCCUAGUGUAGCGGUGAAAUGCGUAGAUAUUAGGAGGAACACCAGUGGCGAAGGCGGCCUGCUGGGCAUUAACUGACGCUGAGGCUCGAAAGCGUGGGGAGCAAACAGG